CCAGCCUGGUGUACAGAGCAAGUUCCAAG
Molecule: non-coding RNA, 29 nt
Filed under: Rattus norvegicus (Norway rat)
Lineage: Eukaryota; Metazoa; Chordata; Mammalia; Rodentia; Muridae
Source: RNAcentral